RNAcentral lists this ribosomal RNA (405 nucleotides) under uncultured bacterium. RNAcentral's name for it is "partial 16S ribosomal RNA". It matches the Rfam family "Bacterial small subunit ribosomal RNA", at positions 30 to 526 of the family's 1533-position model. The record is from RNAcentral.
AUCGAACGCUGGCGGCAUGCCUUACACAUGCAAGUCGAACGAGUGGCGGACGGGUGAGUAAUAUAUGGGAACGUGCCCAGUAGAGGGGGAUAACUACUCGAAAGAGUGGCUAAUACCGCAUACCAUUGGAGUUGCCGAUAUCGGCUUAGCGAGUUGGUGGGGGAAAGGCUAACAAAGGCAACGAUCCGUAGCUGGUUUGAGAGGACGACCAGCCACACUGGGACGGAGCAACGGCCCAGACUCCGACGGGAGGCAGCAGUGGGGAAUUUUGGACAAUGGGGGAAACCCUGAUGCAGCCCUCCGGCGUGUAUGAGAAGGCCUUCGGGUUGUAAAGUACUUUUGUCGAGGAGGCGGUAUUUGAAGAAUAAGCACCGGCUAACUACGUGCCAGCAGCCGCGGUAAUUC